GAGUUUGAUCGUGGCUCAGAUUGAACGCUGGCGGCAUGCCUUACACAUGCAAGUCGAACGGCAGCACGGGAGCUUGCUCCUGGUGGCGAGUGGCGAACGGGUGAGUAAUGCAUCGGAACGUAUCCUGGAGUGGGGGAUAACGUAGCGAAAGUUACGCUAAUACCGCAUAUUCUGUGAGCAGGAAAGCGGGGGGACCUUCGGGCCUCGCGCUCUUGGAGCGGCCGAUGUCGGAUUAGCUAGUUGGUGAGGUAAAGGCUCACCAAGGCGACGAUCCGUAGCAGGUCUGAGAGGAUGAUCUGCCACACUGGAACUGAGACACGGUCCAGACUCCUACGGGAGGCAGCAGUGGGAAUUUUGGACAAUGGGGGCAACCCUGAUCCAGCCAUGCCGCGUGAGUGAAGAAGG
This 405-nucleotide ribosomal RNA is filed under the name bacterium enrichment culture clone ALO1_GLFRUDD03GS14T. Its description in RNAcentral is "bacterial SSU rRNA". It matches the Rfam family "Bacterial small subunit ribosomal RNA", at positions 9 to 414 of the family's 1533-position model. The record is from RNAcentral.